Prionailurus viverrinus (fishing cat) is the source of this 304-nucleotide long non-coding RNA. RefSeq lists it as uncharacterized. Lineage: Eukaryota; Metazoa; Chordata; Mammalia; Carnivora; Felidae. The transcript has 3 exons. The record is from RefSeq and is a predicted model, not a curated record.
GGGAGCCCCGCCCCCUCCAUCAAGGGGUCAAAGCAGACUUGAACGGAAGAGCUGGGCAGGCACCCUUGGGCCCUCACGGUGAGGACCCUGAGGGGAAAGGGUCUCGCCUGCUGGGGAAGCCUCCACAGCGCUUUUACUGAGAAACCUGGAUAAUGAGCAGAAAUCAACAAAAACCAAAGAAGCUAUAGAGACAUAUAAAGUCUUUUACGAAGGACUAGUUCAGUUGGAAAGGGUUGGUGUAUUCUGUGCUUGAAACAAGCCUUCAUGCAAAACCAAGAAGAACUUAACAACGACAAAGAGUAUG